Molecule: non-coding RNA, 22 nt
Filed under: Arabidopsis thaliana (thale cress)
Lineage: Eukaryota; Viridiplantae; Streptophyta; Magnoliopsida; Brassicales; Brassicaceae
Source: RNAcentral
UAGAUUUUCGAUAUAAAUGUGA